Molecule: ribosomal RNA, 833 nt
Filed under: uncultured archaeon
Lineage: Archaea
Description: bacterial SSU rRNA
Rfam family: Archaeal small subunit ribosomal RNA
Source: RNAcentral
CGGGUGGGUUAUCAGCGUUCGCUAAGCCUGCUUGUCGUGAGGGGUUAAGCCCUCGGCGACCGGCUCAGUAACAUGCGGUCAACCUGCCCUAAAGUAGGGGAUAACUUCGGGAAACUGAGGAUAAUACCCUAUAGGUCUAGAGUCCUGGAAUGGACCUUGGCCUAAAGCUUCGGCGCUUUAGGAUGGGACCACAGCCUAUCAAGCUGUUGGUGGGGUAACGGCCCACCAAACUUGUGACGGGUAUGGGUCUUGAGAGAGAUAGCCCAGAGUUGGGGACUGAGACAAGGCCCCAGGCCCUACGGGGUGCAGCAGGUGCGAAAACUCCACAAUUCUCGAAAGAGAGAUGGGGGAACUCCGAGUGCUAAUCCUUUGGGUUAGCUUUUCUGAAGUUCAAAAAGCUUCAGGAAUAAGGGCUGGGCAAGAUCGGUGCCAGCAGCCGCGGUAAUCCCGGCGGCCCAAGUGGUGGCCACUUUUACUGGGUUUGAAGCGUCCGUAGCUGGACCAGUCCGUCCUUGGUUAAAUCCUCGGGCUCAACCCGAGGGCUGCUGAGGAUACUACUGGUCUCGGGACCGGGAGAGGGUAGGGGUACUUCAUGUGUAGGGGUAAAAUCCGUUAAUCCGUGAAGGACCACCUGUAGCGAAGGCGCCUACCUGGAACGGGUCCGACAGUGAGGGACGAAAGCCAGGGGAGCAAAUCGGAUUAGAUACCCGAGUAGCCCUGGCUGUAAACGAUGCGAACUAGGUGCAGCGCACCCUUCGUGGAGUGCGCGGUGCCGCAGAGAAAUCAUUAAGUUCGCCACCUGGGGAGUACGAUCGCAAGAUUGAAACUUAAAG